RNAcentral lists this ribosomal RNA (497 nucleotides) under uncultured bacterium. RNAcentral's name for it is "partial 16S ribosomal RNA". It matches the Rfam family "Bacterial small subunit ribosomal RNA", at positions 28 to 507 of the family's 1533-position model. The record is from RNAcentral.
GAUGAACGCUGGCGGCGUGCCUAAUACAUGCAAGUCGAGCGAACAGAUGAGGAGCUUGCUCCUCUGACGUUAGCGGCGGACGGGUGAGUAACACGUGGAUAACCUACCUAUAAGACUGGGAUAACUUCGGGAAACCGGAGCUAAUACCGGAUAAUAUAUUGAACCGCAUGGUUCAAUAGUGAAAGACGGUUUUGCUGUCACUUAUAGAUAGAUCCGCGCCGCAUUAGCUAGUUGGUAAGGUAACGGCUUACCAAGGCAACGAUGCGUAGCCGACCUGAGAGGGUGAUCGGCCACACUGGAACUGAGACACGGUCCAGACUCCUACGGGAGGCAGCAGUAGGGAAUCUUCCGCAAUGGGCGAAAGCCUGACGGAGCAACGCCGCGUGAGUGAUGAAGGUCUUCGGAUCGUAAAACUCUGUUAUUAGGGAAGAACAAAUGUGUAAGUAACUAUGCACGUCUUGACGGUACCUAAUCAGAAAGCCACGGCUAACUACGUG